RNAcentral lists this unclassified non-coding RNA (217 nucleotides) under Leptographium conjunctum. Its description in RNAcentral is "internal trancribed spacer 1". Lineage: Eukaryota; Fungi; Ascomycota; Sordariomycetes; Ophiostomatales; Ophiostomataceae. The record is from RNAcentral.
GCGAGUUCACAGCGACUCCCAACCCGUGAGAACCUUACCGCAUCCUUUCCGAGAGAGAGCGCCCGUUGCCUCCUGCCGGGCGGCGUGCCCUCCCCCCCCCCUCUGCGGGGGGCGGGACGGGCGCCCGCCCGACGGGGGCGCGGCGCGGCCGCUCCCUCCCGCCGCGAACCUUCUUUGCAGUAUAUUUGUAUCGUCUGAGCAAACCACAGAAUCGUUA